GACGAACGCUGGCGGCGUGCCUAAUACAUGCAAGUAGAACGCUGAAGGAGGAGCUUGCUUCCCCGGAUGAGUUGCGAACGCGUGAGUAACGCGUAGGUAACCUGCCUGGUAGCGGGGGAUAACUAUUGGAAACGAUAGCUAAUACCGCAUAAGAGUAUAUGUUGCAUGACAUUCGCUUAUAAGGUACAAUUGCAUCACUACCAGAUGGACCUGCGUUGUAUUAGCUAGUUGGUGGGGUAACGGCUCACCAAGGCGACGAUACAUAGCCGACCGUAUAGGGGGGUCGGCCACACUGGGACGGGGACACGGCCCAGACUCCUACGGGAGGCAGCAGUAGGGAAUCUUCGGCAAUGGACGGAAGUCUUACCGAGCAACGCCGCGUGAGUGAAGAAGGGUUUCGGAUCGGAAAGCUCUGUUGUAAGGGAAGAACGAGUGUGAGAGUGGAAAGUUCACACUGUGACGGUAUCUAACCAGAAAGGGACGGCUAACUACGUG
This 495-nucleotide ribosomal RNA is filed under the name uncultured bacterium. Its description in RNAcentral is "partial 16S ribosomal RNA". It matches the Rfam family "Bacterial small subunit ribosomal RNA", at positions 28 to 507 of the family's 1533-position model. The record is from RNAcentral.